GACGAACGCUGGCGGCGUGCUUAACACAUGCAAGUCGAACGGAAAGGCCCUGCUUUUGUGGGGUGCUCGAGUGGCGAACGGGUGAGUAACACGUGAGUAACCUGCCCUUGACUUUGGGAUAACUUCAGGAAACUGGGGCUAAUACCGGAUAGGAGCUCCGGCUGCAUGGUGGGGGUUGGAAAGUUUCGGCGGUUGGGGAUGGACUCGCGGCUUAUCAGCUUGUUGGUGGGGGAGUGGCUUACCAAGGCUUUGACGGGUAGCCGGCCUGAGAGGGUGACCGGCCACAUUGGGACUGAGAUACGGCCCAGAAUCCUACGGGAGGGAGCAGUGGGGAAUAUUGCACAAUGGGAGGAAGCCUGAUGCAGCAACGCCGCGUGCGGGAUGACGGCCUUCGGGUUGUAAACCGCUUUCGCCUGUGACGAAGCGUGAGUGACGGUAAUGGGUAAAGAAGCACCGGCUAACUACGUG
This 468-nucleotide ribosomal RNA is filed under the name uncultured bacterium. Its description in RNAcentral is "partial 16S ribosomal RNA". It matches the Rfam family "Bacterial small subunit ribosomal RNA", at positions 28 to 507 of the family's 1533-position model. The record is from RNAcentral.